CAGCAGCCGCCGCGGUAAAACGUAGGUGGCAAGCGUUGUCCGGAAUUAUUGGGCGUAAAGGGCUCGCAGGCGGUUUCUUAAGUCUGAUGUGAAAGCCCCCGGCUCAACCGGGGAGGGUCAUUGGAGACUGGGAAACUUGAGUGCAGAAGAGGAGAGUGGAAUUCCACGUGUAGCGGUGAAAUGCGUAGAGAUGUGGAGGAACACCAGUGGCGAAGGCGACUCUCUGGUCUGUAACUGACGCUGAGGAGCGAAAGCGUGGGGAGCGAACAGGAUUAGAUACCCGAGUAGUCCCUGUCUCUUAUAC
RNAcentral lists this ribosomal RNA (304 nucleotides) under uncultured bacterium. RNAcentral describes it as "partial 16S ribosomal RNA". It matches the Rfam family "Bacterial small subunit ribosomal RNA", at positions 506 to 807 of the family's 1533-position model. The record is from RNAcentral.